RNAcentral lists this long non-coding RNA (252 nucleotides) under Trifolium pratense (red clover). RNAcentral's name for it is "long non-coding RNA (TPRA_LNC008683)". Lineage: Eukaryota; Viridiplantae; Streptophyta; Magnoliopsida; Fabales; Fabaceae. The record is from RNAcentral.
ACCAGUGGCGGAGCCAGGAUUAUAUUGGAGCCUGGGCACAAUUUUAACGCAAUUUUUUUUGGCUAGCAUGAGUCGAAUAAGAAAAAACCAGCAAAACAUGAGUCAUAAUAUAAAUGAGUCACAUAUGAAUUAAAGCCAAAAAAUGACACCAUUAAGACCUCCUAUUAUACAAUCAGGUCAUUUUCCGCGUCUCUGAAAUUAAAUGAUGCAAAAUUAAGAUAUUAAAUGACAGCAUUAAGACAUCAUAUUAUA